UGACAUCUAAGCAACUGAACUGGGAUUCAAAUUGAAGUAGAAGCUGCAGCUGCAGAGAUGUAUACUAUCAUGUCCAUCAAAGAUGCCAAGAUCUACGUUCUCUUACUGGUGUUCAUCAGCGUCUUUGUGGAGAAAGGGCAGUCAGACUUAUCAACAGAAAAUGUGAAAAAGAUUAUUGAAGACACAAUAUACAAAAGGUUCAAUCCUGAAGAGUUGAAAAGAAUGAUAGCAAAGAAAGCAGAAGGCACAAGAGGAAGACAGCCCAAGUAAGAUCAUUUUCAUUUGUUUCUACUUUUAGCAACCCUGAGCUUCUAUCUCAUAAUCUGACAAUGUUUUUUACAAUUACUUUUCUUGUGGCUGAGCAAUCUGUAUCCUCAUAUUGUGCAAUCCCCUCCAACCCCUCUUUUACGCUACUGCUACUCUCUGUUCAUCAUAUAUGCAUAGUCACUUUAACAAUAUCUACAUGUACAUACUACCUCAAUCAGCCUGACUAACCGGUGCCUGUAUAUAGCCUCGCUACUAUUAUAGCCUCGCUACUGUUAUUUUUCACUGUCUUUUUACUGUUGUUUUUAUUUAUUAACUUACCUAUUGUUCACAUAAUACAUUUUAUGCACUGUUGGUUAGAGCCUGUAAGUAAGCAUUUCACUAUAAGGUCUACACCUGUUGUAUUCGGCGCACGUGACAAAUAAAUGUUGAUUUGAUUUGAUUUGACUCCAUGGUUUAACCAACCCAGUAUUUGGAAUACGACAACCCUAUCCAGUAUUAGGAAUACGACAACCCUAUCCAGUAUUUGGAAUACGACAACCCUAUCCAGUAUUAGGAAUACGGCAACCCUAUCCAGUAUUAGGAAUACGACAACCCUAUCCAGUAUUAGGAAUACGACAAUUCUGCAUGGAUCUACAUUUAUCACUGUUCUAUCUUUGAGUCUUCUUAUAAACAAUGUACAGUGUAGCUUCAAAAUAUAUUUUAAACGAUCUUGGCUGCUCUCAUGGACUGUAUUAUGUCUUAAAGGCUCAUUUCAAAUGUUUUACUCUAUGUUUGGGUUUCUAAUACAGGGGCGAGCAGUUCACAAUGGCACUCAGGCUUACAACAAAGGAAUGUGACAGUGGGGAGCUAGAGAAAAGAGACAAUCUCGAACAGGUUAUGGGCGACAUGGUAAAUGGUGCUGUGGGCAACAAUGAUUGGGUCACUGCAGCUAUUCCUAAGUUCAACCCCGGUUAUGACAGCCAUUCAGAAUAUCGCGUACUGGAGAAACUGCAAUCCAAUUUAAAAAAAGAUUCUAAUAUAGAGUGUUUGAUACUCUACACACACAACAGUCCUUGUACUGAUAAAUGCCUGAAAGACAACCAUUUGUUCAACAUUAUCAACCAACUGAACGAUGUUUUCUUAAAAGUAGAAUCAACAUAUAGUGCAUUAGUAUUCGACCAUAUUUUUUAUAAAGACACUGACAAAAGUAGAGAGGACGUUUUUAGUUCCCUGAAAAAAAUUCCUAUACCAAUUUAUUGCUGCUCCAAAGCUCAUAGUGGAUAUCACUGUGCAUUGCUUGACACUAGCAAAGAUGACACAUUUCAAAUAUGUUUAACUGAGAUAAAGCAAUGAGAUAUCAAAGUAAUGACACCAAUGAUAAACCCCUGAGAAAAUGAAUAAAGAGCACAAUAUAUUUUUUUCUGUUGUUACAUAAACCACAACAUUUAUACAAAUGUUUGGCUGUCAUCACUCAUCACUGAAUUGGGAUGCUAAUGUUAGCAGUACAUGAAUGUUGGUUGUAAUUAUUUAGUCUGUUCUGUAUCCCCCCAUUCUGUCGUUUCAAUGUGCUUUCUGUCUUCUGAAUAUUGAUAAACAUUCUGAAACUGUAUAAUGUAGUGUUUCAUUUCAAACUAUUUCUGCCUGAUGCCAGCAGAAAGUUGUUAGUCUGUUGUUUAUUAUACUGUAUAAAUCUGUUUCCACUCGCUUAUGAUAUCAUUACUGUGAUCUACAACUUUAUGACGUAUGAGUUAUUUGCUGUUAUUAAACCAUUCUCUCUUGGAUGUAAUGAAGGAUGUUGUUUGUGAUAAGUGCUUUCCCUUCGUU
Oncorhynchus nerka (sockeye salmon) is the source of this 2070-nucleotide long non-coding RNA. RefSeq lists it as uncharacterized. The record is from RefSeq and is a predicted model, not a curated record. The transcript is spliced from 3 exons. NCBI's taxonomy places the organism in Eukaryota, Metazoa, Chordata, Actinopteri, Salmoniformes, Salmonidae.